GGUUUAUGUCAGAAGCCGAAUUUAAAAACCCUCCUUUACGUAUGGGAAUAACGAACUAAGUCAUUAUACACGCGUCUUCAACGUUUUCGACGGGAGUGGAAUAAACUAAUGACUUGAGAAAACCUCAAAUGCAAAAAUCUAGAGGAUUUAAAUCUGGUGAUCGAGCAGGCCAGUGUUCUGUACCUCCCCUACCUGUCCAAGUUUUGGAAAUACUGUAUCUAAGUGAUUACGUACAUUGAUACUAAAAUGGGCUGGUGCACCAUCAUGCAUGAACCAUAAGUGUUGCCUCAACUGUAAAGGAAUUUCUUUAAAAGGAACAGAAUUUAAAUUAGUCCGGUGCCUAGAUAAACUGCGAAGGGAGGUGUCAAACAAACAAAAGGAACCCAAUAAUUAGUAAUGCCAAGUGAUUUUUAUUUCGCUAAUAACUCGAAAGGUAAAAAAGGUAGGCGAUUGCGGUUUGCAGGUUUUUUCUAGUAAAUUAAAUCUACUUUCCGAUUUUGCUAUCAAAAUUAUAGCGAGGCUUUUAAUUUUUGUAGAAAAAUCAAAGUAAUAAUGUUUAAUUCAAAUGACCCCUGCUGCCAAUUUUACUAAAAUCUUUCGCAUACAAGUAUAUACAUUUCCAAAGUCCAAAUUGAACAAGUCAAGUGAAAACUGGAUAAGUCUUAUCACAGUGGCGGCUGGUCUAUGUAUGCUGCAGUGCUGCAGAGCCCCAAAGAAAAUUAAAUAAUCUAUUAAAAAUAUGAUCUAUAAACCAAAACCCAAAAAAAAAGAAAAAAUCUCCGUCUCGCAUAUUUUUUACUCCUUUUUUAUCAAUUAAACAAAACGCAAACCCUCUCGCGUCAUCACCGCCGAACCCGCCAGCACCUCCAGUGCAUCAGCGAGUCAACAGCAGCCGAGUAAAGUAAAGUACCGUCGACCCGGUCGACGAUUCGAAAUAAUCAUCUGGUCCACACGAUCGUGCUCUACGCGCUCCUUCGCACACCCGCGCUGUUCCCCGCCACCCCCGUGUCUAUCGGAAUGGUACGCUGAAAUAACCCGAUAAUUCGCUGCAUUUAUUCCAGCUCUAGGCGGAAAAUGCAAUUUGAGACUUGAGAUCGGGAUU
Molecule: long non-coding RNA, 1102 nt
Organism: Anthonomus grandis grandis
Lineage: Eukaryota; Metazoa; Arthropoda; Insecta; Coleoptera; Curculionidae
Exons: 3
Source: RefSeq, a predicted model, not a curated record